Molecule: ribosomal RNA, 253 nt
Filed under: uncultured bacterium
Lineage: Bacteria
Description: partial 16S ribosomal RNA
Rfam family: Bacterial small subunit ribosomal RNA
Source: RNAcentral
UACGUAGGGCGCAAGCGUUGUCCGGAAUUAUUGGGCGUAAAGAGCUCGUAGGCGGCUUGUCACGUCGGGUGUGAAAGCCCGGGGCUUAACCCCGGGUCUGCAUUCGAUACGGGCUAGCUAGAGUGUGGUAGGGGAGAUCGGAAUUCCUGGUGUAGCGGUGGAAUGCGCAGAUAUCAGGAGGAACACCGGUGGCGAAGGCGGUUCUCUGGGCAUUACCUGACGCUGAGGAGCGAAAGUGUGGGGAGCGAACAGG